GGACCGGUUACCUCAGUUGGUUAGAGUGUGAUGCUGAUAACACCAAGGUCACGGGUUUGAUCCCCGUUCGGUCUC
Non-coding RNA from Apaloderma vittatum (bar-tailed trogon), 75 nucleotides. The record is from Rfam. NCBI's taxonomy places the organism in Eukaryota, Metazoa, Chordata, Aves, Trogoniformes, Trogonidae.